This 355-nucleotide ribosomal RNA is filed under the name uncultured bacterium. Its description in RNAcentral is "bacterial SSU rRNA". It matches the Rfam family "Bacterial small subunit ribosomal RNA", at positions 22 to 356 of the family's 1533-position model. The record is from RNAcentral.
GCUCAGGAUGAACGCUGGCGGCGUGCUUAACACAUGCAAGUCGAACGAAGAGGGUUAGAAUGAGAGCUUCGGCAGGAUUUCUUUCCAUCUUAGUGGCGGACGGGUGAGUAACGUGUGGGCAACCUGCCCUGUACUGUGGAAUAAUCAUUGGAAACGAUGACUAAUACCGCAUGUGGUCCUCGGAAGGCAUCUUCUGAGGAAGAAAGGAUUUAUUCGGUACAGGAUGGGCCCGCAUCUGAUUAGCUAGUUGGUGAGAUAACAGCCCACCAAGGCGACGAUCAGUAGCCGACCUGAGAGGGUGAUCGGCCACAUUGGGACUGAGACACGGCCCAAACUCCUACGGGAGGCAGCAGUA